RNAcentral lists this ribosomal RNA (480 nucleotides) under uncultured bacterium. RNAcentral's name for it is "bacterial SSU rRNA". It matches the Rfam family "Bacterial small subunit ribosomal RNA", at positions 987 to 1471 of the family's 1533-position model. The record is from RNAcentral.
UGGCAGGGAAKUUCCAGAGAUGGAUUYGUGCUCGAAAGAGAACCUGCACACAGGUGCUGCAUGGCUGUCGUCAGCUCGUGUCGUGAGAUGUUGGGUUAAGUCCCGCAACGAGCGCAACCCUUGCCAUUAGUUGCUACGAAAGGGCACUCUAAUGGGACUGCCGGUGACAAACCGGAGGAAGGUGGGGGUGACGUCAAGUCCUCAUGGCCCUUAUAGGUGGGGCUACACACGUCAUACAAUGGCUGGUACAGAGGGUUGCCAACCCGCGAGGGGGAGCUAAUCCCAUAAAGCCGGUCGUAGUCCGGAUCGCAGUCUGCAACUCGACUGCGUGAAGUCGGAAUCGCUAGUAAUCGUGGAUCAGCAUGUCACGGUGAAUACGUUCCCGGGUCUUGUACACACCGCCCGUCACACCAUGGGAGCGGGUCUCGCCAGAAGUAGUUAGCCUAACCGCAAGGAGGGCGAUUACCACGGCGGGUUUCG